Molecule: ribosomal RNA, 440 nt
Filed under: uncultured bacterium
Lineage: Bacteria
Description: partial 16S ribosomal RNA
Rfam family: Bacterial small subunit ribosomal RNA
Source: RNAcentral
CCUACGGGAGGCAGCAGUGGGGAAUAUUGCACAAUGGGGGAAACCCUGAUGCAGCGACGCCGCGUGAGUGAAGAAGUAUUUCGGGAUGUAAAGCUCUAUCAGCAGGGAAGAAAAUGACGGUACCUGACUAAGAAGCCCCGGCUAACGACGUGCCAGCAGCCGCGGUAAUACGUAGGGGGCAAGCGUUAUCCGGAUUUACUGGGGGUAAAGGGAGCGGAGACGGCCAGACAAGGCAGAAGUGAAAGCCAAGGGCUCAACCCUGGGACUGCUUUUGAAACUGCCGGGCUGGAGUGCAGGAGAGGUAAGCUGCAUUCCUAUUGUAGCGGUGCCAUGCGUCGCUAUUAGGAGGACCCCCAGUGGCGCAGGCGGCUUACUUGACUGUACCUGCCGUUGCGGCUCGACCGCGUGGGGAGCAACCAGGAUUAGAUCCCCUGGUAGUC